AAAUAGCAUAAUAAGCCACCAUAGGACUUGGCCUUACACGCCAACUUACGGCAGUCUCAAACCCCGGUUACCCCCACCCACUUUCUCGACCACUUUCAUUUGUAAGUUGUUCUGGAAAUCAAAAAUCAACUUAGUUAAGCUCUGAUGAUCAGAAUUAUGAUUAUAUUUUUUCAUAUCCCCGCCCCAGCCACUGUAAUAAAAAUUAAUCACAUCUCUCUCAAUCUUUUUUUUGUUUACUCAGCAAUCUCUAUCAAUUUUUUGUUUCAAAUUCACUCCAUUUCUCUCGAAAUAUCCGCCCCUGAUAAUGAUAACGAUGAUGAAUGGAGAUAGCUUAAACCAUGAUGUUGAGAAGAGAUGCAAGACUGAGUUCAAAAAAUUUCUUGCUAGCGCUAAAAGAAACCUCAAAAUCUGCACCGACAGAGUCUCAAACCAUAAGAUGACGAAGAGUUUGUAUAAUUGAAGAGCUAUUUGCAGAGGAUGUGGAUUGAAACCAAAUAUGCUUAAGUAUAUCAAGUCGUCAUCCUGAGCACUGACAACCGUCAUACAGUGGUACAAUUUUUCAGAUCCUUUGAUGAACAGAACUUGGCUGUUUGUACUUUGAUACGUAUAACAGUAGCAAAGAUAGAAUGUUCGCGUGGAUUCAAAUACUUCUGUAGUUCACAAAAAAGUCCAAUGUUUAUCGAAUUCCAGUGUUGAUCACGGUUCAGGUUUUGAAGAUUUUUUGUCCCAUUGCUGGAGCAGUCGCAUUUGCUAACGAGAUAAUUGGCUGUUCAUUAGGAUAUAUAAAACCUCUCAGCGUAGGAGUGCUGCUUAUGCAGUUGCUAAACUAAACUUUACGGGAUUGGAGAUCGAACUGGAUAAAUGGUUAAUGGCAGAGCCACUAAGAUAAGAGAAGGUGGACAUGCGAAAGCAACUGAUUAUAGAUUCUGCACACAAAGUUCAGCCGACCUCAACGUUAAGGAUUAGAGAUAUUUGGAUACACAAAUAUGUAAAUUUAACUUCUGAGAUUCCUUAAAGAUGAUUAUAUCUCAUGAUAAUGCCACAAAGAGAUGUUACCCAGUACGAAUGUCUCAUGUAGAUGUUGCAGUCGCAAAGAGAUGUAACCCAGUGCGAACUAUCAACAAUUCAACCAAAGUUCCCUCCAUGCGUACUGGAAAACCAAGCUAACAACGACCCCCACUUCAUCAAAUUCCGUGUAAUAAUCUUGCCAUCCAUUUUCAUGUCAUCUUCUUUGUUGUCAACCAAUCCUGGUUUUUUUUUACGUAUACAGUGAUCUUUCAUUGUGUUAAGAAUCUAAAUUUUGUAAAAAUUAGUGCAGUGCUUUCAGCUUGUGACAAGAUCAG
Long non-coding RNA from Papaver somniferum (opium poppy), 1343 nucleotides. RefSeq lists it as uncharacterized. The record is from RefSeq and is a predicted model, not a curated record. Lineage: Eukaryota; Viridiplantae; Streptophyta; Magnoliopsida; Ranunculales; Papaveraceae. The transcript is spliced from 6 exons.